GGGGCGGGCCGUCUCCCGUAGCAACGGCGAGGGGGCGGCGCCGCCGCCCCGCACGCACCGCACGCACGUACGUACGCGCGUGCGUCAUCACGGAGCGUUCCAGCGCGUCACGCACGGCCCCGCCCCUUCCGGUUUUGCGCCCCCCUCAGGUCCUCACCUGAGCGGCAGCCGCCGCCGCGGGGCUCCCGAACGAAUCCACCGAAGAAAGGCUCCGGUUCUCCUCUAGAAGUCCCGGUAGAACCUUGCCAAGUCCCGGUUCCCCGUUGUAAGCUCCACCAGCACCUCGCCGAGUCCCGGUUCUCCGCGAUGAGCUCCGCUAGAACCUUUCCGAGUCCCGGUUCUCCGUUGCAAGCUCCGCUAGAACCUUUCCGAGUGCCCGGUUCUCCGUUGUAAACCCCAGUAUUCCGUUGCCGUCGUCUCGCUUCUCCGCUCCCGACCCGCUUCUAUCCCAUCCGAACUCCGUUUUGCGGCUCUCGUUGCUCUUCUUUUCGGAAUCCCGGACCGGUUCCCCGUUCCGUCCGGUACCGAGUCCCUCUUCCCCCUCUCCUCUCCCUCCUCAAUCAAUGAAGCUUUUUUUAUGAAUGAACCGCUCUCCGGCGCGCGGCGGCUUUAUACGGCGGCGCCCCGCCCCCUUUUGCUGACGUCACAGCUCCACCGUUUUGAUGGGGGGGGGGGUCCCGGUGAUGGGGGGGGGGUCCGCUGAACCCCUCCGGUGUCGGCGCGGCUCCGUCCGUCGGUUCUGCGCCGCGAUCGCUGCGAUCGCCGCCGUUAUGAGGAUCCGAAGGGGGCGGAGGGAAGCGGGGGGGAUCCCUCGCCCCGCCCCGUUCUUUCCCCCCCCCGGGCCGGAGUUCCUGUGACGCAAUUAACCAUAUAUGGCCUUGGC
Molecule: long non-coding RNA, 883 nt
Organism: Numida meleagris (helmeted guineafowl)
Lineage: Eukaryota; Metazoa; Chordata; Aves; Galliformes; Numididae
Exons: 2
Source: RefSeq, a predicted model, not a curated record